Long non-coding RNA from Haliotis rubra (blacklip abalone), 402 nucleotides. RefSeq lists it as uncharacterized. The transcript has 3 exons. Lineage: Eukaryota; Metazoa; Mollusca; Gastropoda; Lepetellida; Haliotidae. The record is from RefSeq and is a predicted model, not a curated record.
CAGUACAGGUGGUGUAAUAACAUCCAGUACAGUAGGUGUAGUAUCAUCCAGUACAGUUGGUGUAAUAACAUCCAGUACAGUUGGUGUAAUAACAUCCAGUACAGUUGGUGUAUUAACAUCCAGUACAGUAGGUGUAAUAACAUCCAGUACAGUUGGUGUAAUAACAUCCAGUACAGUUGGUGUAAUAACAUCCAGUACAGUAGGUGUAAUAACAUCCAGUACAGUAGGUGUAAUAACAUCCAGUGCAGUAGGUGUAAUAACAUCCAGUGCAGUAGGUGUAAUAACAUCCAGUACAGUAGGUGUAAUAACAUCCAGGGCAGUAGGUGUAAUAACAUCCAGUGCAGUAGGUGUAAUAACAUCCAGUACAGUUGGUGUAAUAACAUCCAGUACAGUUGGUGUAAU